UCAGUACUUAAUGGCGUUAUGCAGAUGCUCUAGGGUUCCCCAAUCUUUCGUCCAAGUUUCUACCCCAGUCGAGAUUCUUAUCUUUUCCAUUAAAUAUGUGGUUAGAAAGAAACGUGUAAAUGAUCUUGCAAUCAACUUGCUGUGCAAACAAAAAAUGUUGUCCCGAGCCAUGAGCAUGGGACCAUUUCCAUUUCACACCACAGAUUCGUAGAUCUACAUUGAUACUGAAUUUCAUUUCAACGUCAGAAAAUUGAAUACAACCAGGGAUACGAGGACCGGUGUUUGGUAAAAAAACCUUUGACAGAAAUCAAAGGAAAAAGGCCUACAUUUUAUCUGCCUCACGUUACAGCUGUCACAGUUCUAAAACAUCAGAUUCGUACAUAUAUAUAUUAAUACUGAAUUUCAUUUCAACCUCAAAAAACUGAAUACUAACAGGGAUAUGAGGACAGGUUCGGUAAAAUACCUUUGAUAGGAAUGGAAGGAAAAAGGCCAACGUCGUACGUACCUGCCCCAAUGACAGUUGUCACUGUUGUACAACAUCGAUCAGACGUCUGCUAUACUGGAAAAUGUUGUUGUUUUAUAAUGACUGGCAUAUUAGCACGGAAGAAUAAGGUCAUCUCCAAUCGAUCCGAUCAGAGGGUCAAAAAUAACCCGAAAUGACAUGAAAACUGUCUUCAACUUAGGGCUAGGCCAAAGAGCUCGUGGGCUCCAUCGGGCCAAAAAAGAGGAAUUAGGCCAAUCGGUUAGCCCAAAUGAGCCAACCAGCUAGCCCCGGGCCAUACACAGAAUGGCUUGCAAGCGGAAGGCGAAGGCCAUGACUCAGGAGGUAGCCGCGGCUAAUGAUGACAGAGAGGAAGCGAGGUUUCUUGGGAAAAAGCUUUUUCCCAACUUCAUCAAAUUUCAGGCUCUAAUUGAAAAUUUCGACCUCUGAUCAAAUCGAAAUUCGAAAUUUAGGGCUUGGAUUGGUGAAAUGGCGAUGCUUUUGGAGGAUAUUCUGAAGUCGGUGGAGCUCUGGUUAAAGAUGAUCAAGAAGCCCCAGCCUUACAUGGACCCAAAUCUCGACCCCGUUCUGCUAGUUUCGGGCAUCGCCGGUUCGGUCUUGAAUGUCGUCAAUGAAGAGAGUGGUGCAUAAUUAAACAAAAGCUAAUUUGUGGCUUUUCAUUCUCGUGUAGGUGCACCUGGAUAUGUCACUUCUACCUUUUUAAAUGGAAUGUCAUUUGUUGAUGGGUGGGAACAUAAUUUUUUUAUAUCAAAAUGGAGCAUGCACCAACUGCUUAUUGAGUGCCCAUCAGUCUAUGAAUUGAUGAAUUGUUGUUUUUAAAUUUAAGUUGUUAUAGUUUUUAUAUUAAAAUAAUAAAUUAUGUUUGGCCACUUGGCCCCCUCGAUUGGAGAUGGUUUUUUGUCACAAGGCUAUGUUUGGCCUAUGGUCCUUUGGCCCCUCGGUUGGAGAUGGUAAGGCCAUCUCUAACCGAAGGGUCCAGAGGGCCGAAAAUAGCCCGAAAACGCCCUCCAACUGAGGGUCAUGCCAAAGGGCUCGUGGGUCCCACUAGACAAAAAAUGGCCAAAAGGCCAACUGGCCGGCCCAAAUGAGCCAGCUAGCUGGCCUCGGGCCGGGCUCUAUUUUUGAAUCCCCAACGGCUAGCUAACAUCAGUUACAGUUGGCUUUUGAUUUUUUUUUUUGGGCCAAAUUUUUUUUUUAAAAUUCUCAUUUUUUCCUAUAAAUACCUAAACCAUUCCUUACAAAUUUUUCACCAUUCCUACACCAUUUCAAUUCUCAUAUUUUCUUACCUCUUCUAAAAAUAUUUCUUUCAAUUUUUUCAAUAAUUUUCAAAUGGCCUCGUCUGCAAUGAAAUGUAGGGCUUGGACCUGAAAAGAAGAUAAAGCUCUUUGCAGGGCUUAUAGAUGGGUGUCGAAAGAUAGUGUGAGGGUGAGUUCUUAAACAAGUGAAGGUGUUUGGACUUUUGUGUCCAAAAAAUACUUAGAGUUCUACGAAUGCACCACUCCACCAAAUAUCCGAAAUCACGAGAGUUGUUCUUCAAGAUGGAAGAAACAUCUUCAGCCAAGUUUGAACAAAUGGCACCAAGCACUAUUAGCAGUUACGAUGAAAUACGCCAAGCGGAGGAAUUGUAUAUGGAGGGUAGCUCGAAACCCUUUCAGUUUCACGGUUGUUGGGAAAUUUGUAAACGAUGGGUGUUAUUUGAAGAUCUACCUCAACAUAGAGUAAGUCAUACGCCGUUGUUUGAAACUGCAUCCUCAGCUGUAGAUAUGGAUGAAGAUGGAUCUCCUACCAUUCAACAAACAAACGUAGAAAAUCUGUCUUCGGGUGAAGGUUCCAUACCUAGGGCUAUGGGACGAAACAAGGCCCGAAGGUUAAGGAAAAGGGCAACGUAAAUGAUGAUUACGCCGCUCAACAGGAAGUGGCGGCCUCAUUGCGAUUAAUGGCGGAGCAAAAUGAUAUUGCCGCGGAAGAAAUGAACCAUAGGCAUGAAGAAUAGGCCAAACAAAUAAAAGAAGAGAUGGAUGAUAAGAAUAUGGAAAUGAACACUUCGAAUUACACUCCAAUGAGUAAGGCCUAUUUUGAUAGGAAAAAAAAAAGAUAUUAUGACUCGGCGGCAGUUGUUUACCUCUAACUAUACUCCUACA
Malus domestica (apple) is the source of this 2643-nucleotide non-coding RNA. The record is from RefSeq and is a predicted model, not a curated record. Lineage: Eukaryota; Viridiplantae; Streptophyta; Magnoliopsida; Rosales; Rosaceae.